CUUUUUUCUUAGUCCUAGAAACCAAAAAUAUGAUUUCACAUUGUUAAUGUCUAUAUGAUUUAGUUUUAGAUUGUCCUUCCAAUUUUAAUCAAUAAAAGUGGGUGCCAAGAUUUGAUCUCUAAACCUUUUGAUCUCUAAACCUUUUGAUCCAGCAGGCUCAAAUCAUAUCAUGAAACCAUCCAACCUAAAAGUUCAAGCUUGUAAAUGCUUGUUCCUAAACUUUCUUUAAAUUUAGGACACUAGUAAGGCUAAAUCAUAUGUACAUUAGCACAGAUAAUACAGGAAUACAAUCAAUCUCCUAUUGAUAAUGAAUCUGUCGGUACUUUAAAUUUUAAU
RNAcentral lists this unclassified non-coding RNA (336 nucleotides) under Hevea brasiliensis (rubber tree). The record is from RNAcentral. Lineage: Eukaryota; Viridiplantae; Streptophyta; Magnoliopsida; Malpighiales; Euphorbiaceae.